RNAcentral lists this ribosomal RNA (641 nucleotides) under Terrabacter sp. I13A-01632. RNAcentral describes it as "bacterial SSU rRNA". It matches the Rfam family "Bacterial small subunit ribosomal RNA", at positions 89 to 744 of the family's 1533-position model. Lineage: Bacteria; Bacillati; Actinomycetota; Actinomycetes; Micrococcales; Intrasporangiaceae. The record is from RNAcentral.
UGAUCAGUGGCGAACGGGUGAGUAACACGUGAGUAACCUGCCCCAGACUCUGGGAUAACCCCGGGAAACCGGAGCUAAUACCGGAUAUGACACCAAUCCGCAUGGGUAUGGUGUGGAAAGUUUUUCGGUCUGGGAUGGACUCGCGGCCUAUCAGCUUGUUGGUGAGGUAGUGGCUCACCAAGGCGACGACGGGUAGCCGGCCUGAGAGGGCGACCGGCCACACUGGGACUGAGACACGGCCCAGACUCCUACGGGAGGCAGCAGUGGGGAAUAUUGCACAAUGGGCGCAAGCCUGAUGCAGCGACGCCGCGUGAGGGAUGACGGCCUUCGGGUUGUAAACCUCUUUCAGCAGGGAAGAAGCGAAAGUGACGGUACCUGCAGAAGAAGCACCGGCUAACUACGUGCCAGCAGCCGCGGUAAUACGUAGGGUGCGAGCGUUGUCCGGAAUUAUUGGGCGUAAAGAGCUUGUAGGUGGUUUGUCGCGUCUGCUGUGAAAAUCCGAGGCUCAACCUCGGACUUGCAGUGGGUACGGGCAGACUAGAGUGUGGUAGGGGAGACUGGAAUUCCUGGUGUAGCGGUGGAAUGCGCAGAUAUCAGGAGGAACACCGAUGGCGAAGGCAGGUCUCUGGGCCAUUACUGAC